RNAcentral lists this long non-coding RNA (25967 nucleotides) under Xyrichtys novacula (pearly razorfish). The record is from RNAcentral. Lineage: Eukaryota; Metazoa; Chordata; Actinopteri; Labriformes; Labridae.
GGUUUGCAACUACGUGUCCCAGACUGCAUCCCUGCUGAGAGUCCCUCCCUCCCUUCUCAUGUUGCAGGAAGAACGUAAGCGCCCGCCCCUUGUCAAUCAGUCACCAUAUAAUUUUGGAUUGGUUGCUGUGGUGAAGUUUUCCACCAAUAGGAGAGAUGUUGUGGUGUGUUUCUUUUUUCUUUUGGCAAGCCUUUUCCGCCUGUAAGACCUGUCGCUAAUGUGUGCAUGCUAUGUUUUCCUGUCUCAUACAGCGCGAUCGAGCGCCGAACGUGAUCAAAAUAAGCAGAAAAAAAGUAUCGCGGACAUAAUUUAUCAUAACUCUGGUUUUAUUUGGCCUAUCAACACAAUUUAAAAACUGGUAUAUAGGUUGAGGUCCUCACUUUUGAGAUAAGUUGAAACGGAGAGUUAACGAGGCUCCGUCUUGCAGCUACAUCCGGUUAAAUAUGUCAUGUGACUUGAACGCUGGGGAGCGUCAAUCGAAUCAAAUCAAACCUAACUCUCAGAUGAAUCUUCAAAAUUCACCUCAGAAAUAUGCUUAUUAUUCUUCUCAGAGUACUGCAGGAUACACACACACACACACACACAGACACACACACACACACGCACACACACACACACACUCAGAGUCUGUUUUUUAGCACCUGCAAAAACAUGCUAUUUACAUAUUUGACAAGAAUGCAGAGGCUUCCUUUUGCCCCUGAAAAAAAUCAAAUUUCAAACACAACUUGACUGCUCAUUUCUCCAAAAGACAACCAUGAAGCUCCAUCCAAACCUGAAGCAGGCAGUUGGUGCAUGUGUACAGUAACCUGAGGGGAGUGAGGUGACUGCUUCUGAGGAGAACAUGAGCAGUGAAGAUUCACCUUGGAGCUAGAACAGGGACGUGCACAUGAUAAUACAGGGGCAGGGGCUCAAGUUUUUUCCAGUCGUUUAUACAAUAUGGAAAUUAAUGUGAAAUUAAAAAACAAAGUAUGACUGUCCUGUGUAGGUGACAGUGAUAUCCAAUAGGCUAGGCACUCACGAGGCUGGCUGUGGCAAGUGUAAGUGAAAGCAACAUGCACUGGCAGGAAGAACAGCAAACGCCGAUGAAGGAAAAGGGUCUUUGCAGUGAUGGGCGUUACCAGAGAGGGCGAUGGCCAGAGGACACGAAUGGGACGGGGAGGCAGCGCGUUGGGGGGGGGGGGUGCGACAUGGCUCGGGCCCGCCAGUGCCCCAACGGGGCCCUAGUUCUUUCUUUCUUUCUUCUUUUUCCUCCCCUUUGAACUGGAAAAUGGCCCACUUCCCACUGGCGAAAACUCAUGAAAUUUGGCAGGACGACCGGGCCUGGUGAAAAAUUCGAUAUUCUGAAGUCGCCCAAACAAUAAAAUGCAAAAUGGCUCCAUAGCGCCCCCUAAGGUGGAAAUUCACACUAUUGACUGUCACGCCUGUACGCUUUGUCAUAUUGACACAAAAAUUGACACACAUAUGUAUCUCAAUAAGAUCUACAAAAAAGUCAGUGCGGCCGUAUCUGUCAAAAUUACGGUUAAAGGGUUAUUUCGCAUUUUUUGCCGAUCCGCACACAUUGGAAUUUCGCUAACUCCUCCGAAGGCUUUCGUUCCACCGGCACCACAUUUGCUCAGGCCAAUCUACACCCCGUGGCCAUUAAAAGUUAUCAAAAUCAUGACGCUGCACCCCAAGGUUUAGGUUCUAGGGGGCGCCAAAGAUAACACUAAAAUCUACAUAUUUAAAAGUCUUAUAACUUUUUAUUUUUGUCCUCACUGGCCUCCAAGUUUUCUAGGAUGAUGCAAUGUCCAGCCAUCAACACAUUUGUGAAGGAAUUUUUACUCCCCAAAAGAGCGCCCCCCAUGGCAGGAGAAAAAAGUCCAUUUUUUCUUGUCCCCUAAGGUGAAAAUACACAUUGUUGAGUGUCACGCCUAUACGCUUUGUCAAAAUGACACAAAAAUUGACACACACAUGUAACUCAAUAAGAUCUACAAAAAAGUCCAUGCGCGCGUAUCUGUCAAAUGUACAGUUAAAGGGUUAUUCCGCAUUUUUUGCCGAUACGCACACAUUGGAAUGUGGCUAACUCCUCCGAAGGCUUUCGUUCCACCGGCACCACAUUUGCUCAGGCCAAUCUACACCCCAUGGCCAUUAAAAGUUAUUCAAAUCAUGAUGCUGCACCCCAUGGUUUAGGUUCUAGGGGGCGCCAAAAAUAACCCAAAAAUCCACAUUCUUAAAUGUUUUAUAACUUUUUAUUUUUGUCCUCACUGGCCUCCAAGUUUUCUAGGAUGAUGCAAUGUCCAGCCAUCAACACAUUUGUGAAGGAAUUUUUACUCCCCAAAAGAGCGCCCCCCCAUGGUAGGAGAAAAAAGUCAAUUUUUUCUUGUCCCCUUACAUAAAAAUACACAUUGUUGAGUGUCACGCCUGAACGCUUUGUCAUAUUGACACAAAAAUUGACAAUCAUGUGUAUCUCAAUUAGAUCUACGAAAAAGUCAAAGAGCGCGUAUCUGUAUAAUGUACGGUUAAAGGGCUAUUUUGCAUUUUUUGCCGAUUCGCACACAUUGGAAUGUGGCUAUCUCCUCCUAAGGCUUUCGUCCCACCGAUACCAAAUUUGCUCAGGGCAAUCUACACCCCAUGCCCAUUCAAAGUUGUAAAAAUCAUGACGCUGCACCCCACGGUUUACGUUCUAGGGGGCGCCAAAGAUGACCCAAAAAUCCACAUUCUUAAAAGUCAUUUUGGCCACUGCAGGAGUACAGAGUACUGCAGUUCUAGGGGGCGCCAAAGAUGACCCAAAAAUCCACAUUCUUAAAAGUCUUUUUGGCCACUGCAGGAGUACAGAGUACUGCAGGAUACACACACAUAUACACACACGCCAACAUACACACACACUCACACACACACACACACACACACACACAGACACACACACACACUCAGAGUCUGUUUUUUAGCACCUGCAAAAACAUGCUGUUUACAUAUUUGACAAGAAUGCAGAGGCUUCCUUUUGCCCCUGAAAAAAAUCAAAUUUCAAACACAACUUGACUGUUCAUUUCUCCAAAAGACAACCAUGAAGCUCCAUUUCAAACCUGAAGCAGAUAGUUGGUGCAUGUGUACAGUAACCUGAGGGGAGUGAGGUGACUAUUUCUGAGGAGAACAUGAGCAGUGAAGAUUCACCUUGGAGCUAGAACAGGGACGUGCACAUGAUUAUACAGGGGCAGGGGCUCAAGUUUUUUCCAGUCAUUUAUACAAUAUGGAAAUUAAUGUGAAAUUAAACCACAAAUAUGUGUGAUGAACUGUUUUUAAAACUUAAACUUCAAAUAAAAAUUGUAAACUUCAAAACAUAUGCAAAUUUUUAACAAAGAACAUAGUAAUUUACCUCUAUUUACAUCAAAAUGCAGGCAAUGGCCCAGGCGUUCUUUGUAAAAUUAUUUACAAAACACUGUAUAGUCUCACAAAUGUCACUUUUUAUUUAUGCCACUACAAAAAAACAUGAUGUAAAUGAUGCAUGAUGUAAAACAUGAUGUAAAAAACUUGUGUAGAUCCUCCUCUAUGUCAGUCCAUGUGUAAUUUUUCCAUAAUUCUUUGUUUUUUGCAGCAUUUUUGUUAGUGUAACUGCAGAUUGUGCUGACAGUGUCUAUGGCACAAAAAAAAAAAAAUUAAAAUGCCUCAACAUGAACCCCUGGUGGUCUCUGAGGGUGAAACCUGCUAACUGCUGCAGCUCUGUCAGCUUCAGUCUCCCAUGCAGAGCUCUGAGCGCAUGUGUGGCUCUGCACCCUUAGCAGCGUUGCUAACUCCUCAGUAAGGAAAGCCUGCUUCAUGUCAGAGUCUCUAAACUCCAGAAGAAGUCGAUAAAAGUCCCUUUCUUUCUAAAAAAAGUCGUUAGGGGGUCUGAAAAGUCAUUGAAUCUAACAACAAAGUCGCUAGGUUUGCAACUACGUGUCCCAGACUGCAUCCCUGCUGAGAGUCCCUCCCUCCCUUCUCAUGUUGCAGGAAGAACGUAAGCACCCUCCCCUUGUCAAUCAGUCACCAUAUAAUUUUGGAUUGGUUGUUGUGGUGAAGUUUUCCACCAAUAGGAGAGAUGUUGUGGUGUGUUUUUUUUUUUUUUUGGCAAGCCUUUUCCGCCUGUAAGACCUGUCGCUAAUGUCUGCAUGCUAUGUUUUCCUGUCUCAUACAGCGCGAUCGAGCGCCGAACGUGAUCAAAAUAAGCAGAAAAAAAGUAUCGCGGACAUAAUUUAUCAUAACUCUGGUUUUAUUUGGCCUAUCAACACAAUUUAAAAACUGGUAUAUAGGUUGAGGUCCUCACUUUUGAGAUAAGUUGAAACGGAGAGUCAACGAGGCUCCGUCUUGCAGCUACAUCCGGUUAAAUAUGUCAUGUGACUUGAACGCACACACAGACACACACACACACGCACACACACACACACACACACACACACACACACACACACACUCAGAGUCUGGUUUUUAGCACCUGCAAAAACAUGCUAUUUACAUAUUUGACAAGAAUGCAGAGGCUCCUUUUGCCCCUGAAAAAAAAAUCAAAUUUCAAACACAACUUGACUGGUCAUUUCUCCAAAAGACAACCAUGAAGCUCCAUCCAAACCUGAAGCAGGCAGUUGGUGCAUGUGUACAGUAACCUGAGGGGAGUGAGGUGAGUGCUUCUGAGGAGAACAUGAGCAGUGAAGAUUCACCUUGGAGCUAGAACAGAGACAUGCACAUGAUUAUACAGGGGCAGGGGCUCAAGUUUUUUCCAGUCGUUUAUACAAUAUGGAAAUUAAUGUGAAAUUAAAACACAAAGUAUUAAUAGAAAGGUAAUGACUGUCCUGUGUAGGUGACAGGGAUAUCGAAUAGGCUAGGCACUCACGAGGCUGGCUGUGGCAAGUGUAAGUGAAAGCAACACGCACUGGCAGGAAGAACAGCAAACGCCGAUGAAGGAAAAGGGUCUUUGCAGUGAUGGGCGUUACAAGAGAGGGCGAUGGCCAGAGGACACAAAUGGGACGGGGAGGCAGCACGUUGGGGGGGGGGGGGGGCCGACACGGCUCGGGCCCGCCAGUGCCCCAACGGGGUCCUAGUUGUUUCUUUCUUUCUUUAGGGCCCGAGCGUAGCUGCUAAGCAGCUGCGAGAGCCCUCUUGUUCCUGUAGUUUCCUUCUUUAGGGCCCGAGCGUAGCUGCUAAGCAGCUGCGAGAGCCCUCUUGUUCCUGUAGUUUCCUUCUUUUGUUAUUAUUAGGGCCCGAGCGUAGCUGCUAAGCAGCUGCGAGAGCCCUCUUGUUCCUGCAUGUUUCCUUCUUUUGUUAUUAUUAUUAUUUUUCCUCCCCUUUGAACUGGAAAAUGGCCCACUUCCCACUGGCGAAAACUCAUGAAAUUUGGCAGGACGACCGGGCCUGGUGAAAAAUUUGAUAUUCCGAAGUCGCCCAAACAAGAAAAUGCAAAAUGGCUCCAUAGCGCCCCCUAAGGUGAAAAUUCACACUAUUGACUGUCACGCCUGUACGCUUUGUCAAAAUGACACAAAAAUUGACACACACAUGUAUCUCAAUAAGAUCUACAGAAAAGUCAGUGCGGCCGUAUCUGUCAAAUGUACGGUUAAAGGGUUAUUUCGCAUUUUUUGCCGAUCCGCACACAUUGGAAUUUCGCUAACUCCUCCGAAGGCUUUCGUUCCACCGGCACCACAUUUGCUCAGGCCAAUCUACACCCCAUGGCCAUUAAAAGUUAUUCAAAUCAUGACGCUGCAUCCCACGGUUUAGGUUCUAGGGGGCGCCAAAGAUAACCCUAAGAUCCACAUAUUUAAAAGUCUUAUAACUUUUUAUUUUUGCCCUCACUGGCCUCCAAGUUUUCUAGGAUGAUGCAAUGUCCAGCCAUCAACACAUUUGUGAAGGAAUUUUUACUCCCCAAAAGAGCGCCCCCCCAUGGCAGGAGAAAAAAGUCCAUUUUUUCUUGUCCCCUAAGGUGAAAAUACACAUUGUUGAGUGUAACACCUGUACGCUUUGGCAAAAUGACACCAAAAUUGAGACACACAUGUAUCUCAAUAAGAUCUACAAAAAAGUCAAUGCGCACGUAUCUGUCAAAUGUACGGUUAAAGGGUUAUUCCGCAUUUUUUGCCGAUCCGCACACAUUGGAAUUUCGCUAACUCCUCCGAAGGCUUUCGUUCCACCGGCACCACAUUUUCUCAGGCCAAUCUACACCCCAUGGCCAUUAAAAGUUAUUCAAAUCAUGACGCUGCACCCCACGGUUUAGGUUCUAGGGGGCGCCAAAGAUAACCGUAAAAUCCACAUAUUUAAAAGUCUUAUAACUUUUUAUUUUUGUCCCCACUGGCCUCCAAGUUUUCUAGGAUGAUGCAAUGUCCAGCCAUCAACACAUUUGUGAAGGAAUUUUUACUCGCCAAAAGAGCGCCCCCCCAUGGCAGGAGAAAAAAGUCCAUUUUUUCUUGUCCACUAAGGUGAAAAUACACAUUGUUGAGUGCUACGCCUGUAUGUUUUGUCGUAUUGACACAAAAUUUUACAUACACGUGUCUUUCAAUAAGAUCUUCGAAAAAGUCAAUGGCCACGUAUCUGUAAAAUGUACGGUUAAAGGGUUAUUUCGCAUUUUUUGCAGAUUCGCACACAUUGGAAUUUCGCUAACUCCUCCGAAGGCUUUCGUUCCACCGGCACCACAUUUUCUCAGGCCAAUCUACACCCCAUGGCCAUUAAAAGUUAUUCAAAUCAUGACGCUGCACCCCACGGUUUAGGUUCUAGGGGGCGCCAAAGAUAACCCUAAGAUCCACAUAUUUAAAAGUCUUAUAACUUUUUAUUUUUGCCCUCACUGGCCUCCAAGUUUUCUAGGAUGAUGCAAUGUCCAGCCAUCAACACAUUUGUGAAGGAAUUUUUACUCCCCAAAAGAGCGCCCCCCCAUGGCAGGAGAAAAAAGUCCAUUUUUUCUUGUCCCCUAAGGUGAAAAUACACAUUGUUGAGUGUAACACCUGUACGCUUUGGCAAAAUGACACAAAAAUUGACACACAUAUGUAUCUCAAUAAGAUCUACGAAAAAGUCAAUGCGCGCGUAUCUGUCAAAUGUACGGUUAAAGGGUUAUUCCGCAUUUUUUGCCGAUCCGCACACAUUGGAAUUUCGCUAACUCCUCCGAAGGCUUUCGUUCCACCGGCACCACAUUUGCUCAGGCCAAUCUACACCCCAUGGCCAUUAAAAGUUAUUCAAAUCAUGACGCUGCACCCCACGGUUUAGGUUCUAGGGGGCGCCAAAGAUAACCCUAAAAUCCACAUAUUUAAAAGUCUUAUAACUUUUUAUUUUUGUCCUCACUGGCCUCCAAGUUUUCUAGGAUGAUGCAAUGUCCAGCCAUCAACACAUUUGUGAAGGAAUUUUUACUCCCCAAAAGAGCGCCCCCCCAUGGCAGGAGAAAAAAGUCAAUUUUUUCUUGUCCCCUAAGGUGGAAAUUCACACUAUUAACUGUCACGCCUGUACGCUUUAUCAUAUUGACACAAAAAUUGACACACAUAUGUAUCUCAAUAAGAUCUACAAAAAAGUCAAUGCGCGCGUAUCUGUCAAAUGUACGGUUAAAGGGCUAUUUUGCAUUUUUUGCCGAUUCGCACACAUUGGAAUGUGGCUAACUUCUCCUAAGGCUUUCGUCCCACUGACACCAAAUUUGCUCAGGCCAAUCUACACCCCAUGGCCAUUCAAAGUUGUAAAAAUCAUGACGCUGCACCCCACGGUUUACGUUCUAGGGGGCGCCAAAGAUGACCCAAAUAUCCACAUUCUUAAAAGAAUCCACAUCCCCCCCCAUCCCCCACCCCCCAUGGCAGGAGAAACAGUCAAGUUUUUCCUGCCCAUCACUCAAUGGCUCAAUCGCAUCGCUCUCCCGGCAACACCGUAACGAGGAGCAACUUGCCGUUUGGAUAUAUCCUAGCUGUGUUUGUGCCCUCACUCAUGGUCCAGACUUUUUUCAAAUAGGACAUGUAGUUUGUCUGCAGCGAGUGUUUUGGUAGAAACUGCGCCUCCCAUUCAUUAUAAUGGGAAAUGACCACAGACAAGUGCGCACACCAUCUUUGGACCUUGAGUGUGACGCGAUCGGGAGGUGGAGGCGGUCGCGCUGGGGGCGGUGCGACGCGGCUCGGGCCCGACAGUGCCCCACCGGGGCCCUAGUUCUUUCUUUCUUUAGGGCCCGAGCGUAGCUGCUAAGCAGCUGCGAGAGCCCUCUUGUUCCUGCAUGUUUCCUUCUUUUGUUAUUAGGGCCCGAGCCAGCUGCAGAGCAGCCGGGCGUAGGCCCUAUUAUUCCCCAAGUGGUUUUUCUUUGUUUCUUUCUUUCUUUCUUUCUUUCUUUCUUCUUUUUCCUCCCCUUUGAACUGGAAAAUGGCCCACUUCCCACUGGCGAAAACUCAUGAAAUUUGGCAGGACGACCGGGCCUGGUGAAAAAUUCGAUAUUCUGAAGUCGCCCAAACAAGAAAAUGCAAAAUGGCUCCAUAGCGCCCCCUAAGGUGGAAAUUCACACUAUUGACUGUCACGCCUGUACGCUUUGUCAUAUUGACACAAAAAUUGACACACAUAUGUAUCUCAAUAAGAUCUACAAAAAAGUCAGUGCGGCCGUAUCUGUCAAAAUUACGGUUAAAGGGUUAUUUCGCAUUUUUUGCCGAUCCGCACACAUUGGAAUUUCGCUAACUCCUCCGAAGGCUUUCGUUCCACCGGCACCACAUUUGCUCAGGCCAAUCUACACCCCGUGGCCAUUAAAAGUUAUCAAAAUCAUGACGCUGCACCCCAAGGUUUAGGUUCUAGGGGGCGCCAAAGAUAACACUAAAAUCCACAUAUUUAAAAGUCUUAUAACUUUUUAUUUUUGUCCUCACUGGCCUUCAAGUUUUCUAGGAUGAUGCAAUGUCCAGCCAUCAACACAUUUGUGAAGGAAUUUUUACUCCCCAAAAGAGCGCCCCCCCAUGGCAGGAGAAAAAAGUCCAUUUUUUCUUGUCCCCUAAGGUGAAAAUACACAUUGUUGAGUGUCAAGCCUAUACGCUUUGUCAAAAUGACACAAAAAUUGACACACACAUGUAACUCAAUAAGAUCUACAAAAAAGUCCAGCGCGCGUAUCUGUCAAAUGUACAGUUAAAGGGUUAUUCCGCAUUUUUUGCCGAUACGCACACAUUGGAAUUUCGCUAACUCCUCCGAAGGCUUUCGUUCCACCGGCACCACAUUUGCUCAGGCCAAUCUACACCCCAUGGCCAUUAAAAGUUAUUCAAAUCAUGAUGCUGCACCCCAUGGUUUAGGUUCUAGGGGGCGCAAAAAAUAACCCAAAAAUCCACAUUCUUAAAUGUUUUAUAACUUUUUAUUUUUGUCCUCACUGGCCUCCAAGUUUUCUAGGAUGAUGCAAUGUCCAGCCAUCAACACAUUUGUGAAGGAAUUUUUACUCCCCAAAAGAGCGCCCCCCCAUGGUAGGAGAAAAAAGUCAAUUUUUUCUUGUCCCCUUACAUAAAAAUACACAUUGUUGAGUGUCACGCCUGAACGCUUUGUCAUAUUGACACAAAAAUUGACAAUCAUGUGUAUCUCAAUUAGAUCUACGAAAAAGUCAAAGAGCGCGUAUCUGUAUAAUGUACGGUUAAAGGGCUAUUUUGCAUUUUUUGCCGAUUCGCACACAUUGGAAUGUGGCUAUCUCCUCCUAAGGCUUUCGUCCCACCGAUACCAAAUUUGCUCAGGGCAAUCUACACCCCAUGCCCAUUCAAAGUUGUAAAAAUCAUGACGCUGCACCCCACGGUUUACGUUCUAGGGGGCGCCAAAGAUGACCCAAAAAUCCACAUUCUUAAAAGUCAUUUUGGCCACUGCAGGAGUACAGAGUACUGCAGUUCUAGGGGGCGCCAAAGAUGACCCAAAAAUCCACAUUCUUAAAAGUCUUUUUGGCCACUGCAGGAGUACAGAGUACUGCAGGAUACACACACAUAUACACACACGCCAACAUACACACACACACACACACACACACACACACACACACACACACACACACACACAGACACACACCCACACUCAGAGUCUGUUUUUUAGCACCUGCAAAAACAUGCUGUUUACAUAUUUGACAAGAAUGCAGAGGCUUCCUUUUGCCCCUGAAAAAAAUCAAAUUUCAAACACAACUUGACGUUUCAUUUCUCCAAAAGACAACCAUGAAGCUCCAUUUCAAACCUGAAGCAGAUAGUUGGUGCAUGUGUACAGUAACCUGAGGGGAGUGAGGUGACUAUUUCUGAGGAGAACAUGAGCAGUGAAGAUUCACCUUGGAGCUAGAACAGGGACGUGCACAUGAUUAUACAGGGGCAGGGGCUCAAGUUUUUUCCAGUCAUUUAUACAAUAUGGAAAUUAAUGUGAAAUUAAACCACAAAUAUGUGUGAUGAACUGUUUUUAAAACUUAAACUUCAAAUAAAAAUUGUAAACUUCAAAACAUAUGCAAAUUUUUAACAAAGAACAUAGUAAUUUACCUCUAUUUACAUCAAAAUGCAGGCAAUGGCCCAGGCGUUCUUUGUAAAAUUAUUUACAAAACACUGUAUAGUCUCACAAAUGUCACUUUUUAUUUAUGCCACUACAAAAAAACAUGAUGUAAAUGAUGCAUGAUGUAAAACAUGAUGUAAAAAACUUGUGUAGAUCCUCCUCUAUGUCAGUCCAUGUGUAAUUUUUCCAUAAUUCUUUGUUUUUGCAGCAUUUUUGUUAGUGUAACUGCAGAUUGUGCUGACAGUGUCUAUGGCACAAAAAAAAAAAAAAAUUAAAAUGCCUCAACAUGAACCCCUGGUGGUCUCUGAGGGUGAAACCUGCUAACUGCUGCAGCUCUGUCAGCUUCAGUCUCCCAUGCAGAGCUCUGAGCGCAUGUGUGGCUCUGCACCCUUAGCAGCGUUGCUAACUCCUCAGUAAGGAAAGCCUGCUUCAUGUCAGAGUCUCUAAACUCCAGAAGAAGUCGAUAAAAGUCCCUUUCUUUCUAAAAAAAAGUCGUUAGGGGGUCUGAAAAGUCAUUGAAUCUAACAACAAAGUCGCUAGGUUUGCAACUACGUGUCCCAGACUGCAUCCCUGCUGAGAGUCCCUCCCUCCCUUCUCAUGUUGCAGGAAGAACGUAAGCGCCCGCCCCUUGUCAAUCAGUCACCAUAUAAUUUUGGAUUGGGGAAAUUUUGCUAAACAAUGUGACAAUCACGUGCCUUGCCUGGUAUCAUUUUUUUCAGCACAACCUCACCUGUGCGAAUUUACAGUUAUUUUAUCAUGUUGACAUACUGAAUUUACACAAUGGACCCAAAUUCACACACAAAACAUAAAAUCCGAGUGGAAAAAAGUAACAUUUUUACUGUGAAAACCACAAAUAUGUGUGAUGAACUGUUUUUAAAACUUAAACUUCAAAUAAAAAUUGUAAACUUCAAAACAUAUGCAAAUUUUUAACAAAGAACAUAGUGAUUUACCUCUAUUUACAUCAAAAUGCAGGCAAUGGCCCAGGCGUUCUUUGUAAAAUUAUUUACAAAACACUGUAUAGUCUCACAAAUGUCACUUUUUAUUUAUGCCACUACAAAAAAACAUGAUGUAAAUGAUGCAUGAUGUAAAACAUGAUGUAAAAAACUUGUGUAGAUCCUCCUCUAUGUCAGUCCAUGUGUAAUUUUUCCAUAAUUCUUUGUUUUUUGCAGCAUUUUUGUUAGUGUAACUGCAGAUUGUGCUGACAGUGUCUAUGGCACAAAAAAAAAAAAAUUUAAAAUGCCUCAACAUGAACCCCUGGUGGUCUCUGAGGGUGAAACCUGCUAACUGCUGCAGCUCUGUCAGCUUCAGUCUCCCAUGCAGAGCUCUGAGCGCAUGUGUGGCUCUGCACCCUUAGCAGCGUUGCUAACUCCUCAGUAAGGAAAGCCUGCUUCAUGUCAGAGUCUCUAAACUCCAGAAGAAGUCGAUAAAAGUCACUUUCUUUCUAAAAAAAAGUCGUUGGGGGUCUGAAAAGUCAUUGAAUCUAACAACAAAGUCGCUAGGUUUGCAACUACGUGUCCCAGACUGCAUCCCUGCUGAGAGUCCCUCCCUCCCUUCUCAUGUUGCAGGAAGAACGUAAGCGCCCGCCCCUUGUCAAUCAGUCACCAUAUAAUUUUGGAUUGGUUGUUGUGGUGAAGUUUUCCACCAAUAGGAGAGAUGUUGUGGUGUGUUUUUUUUUCUUUUGGCAAGCCUUUUCCGCCUGUAAGACCUGUCGCUAAUGUCUGCAUGCUAUGUUUUCCUGUCUCAUACAGCGCGAUCGAGCGCCGAACGUGAUCAAAAUAAGCAGAAAAAAAGUAUCGCGGACAUAAUUUAUCAUAACUCUGGUUUUAUUUGGCCUAUCAACACAAUUUAAAAACUGGUAUAUAGGUUGAGGUCCUCACUUUUGAGAUAAGUUGAAACGGAGAGUCAACGAGGCUCCGUCUUGCAGCUACAUCCGGUUAAAUAUGUCAUGUGACUUGAACGCACACACAGACACACACACACGCACACACACACACACACACACACACACACACACACACACACACACACUCAGAGUCUGGUUUUUAGCACCUGCAAAAACAUGCUAUUUACAUAUUUGACAAGAAUGCAGAGGCUCCUUUUGCCCCUGAAAAAAAAUCAAAUUUCAAACACAACUUGACUGGUCAUUUCUCCAAAAGACAACCAUGAAGCUCCAUCCAAACCUGAAGCAGGCAGUUGGUGCAUGUGUACAGUAACCUGAGGGGAGUGAGGUGAGUGCUUCUGAGGAGAACAUGAGCAGUGAAGAUUCACCUUGGAGCUAGAACAGAGACGUGCACAUGAUUAUACAGGGGCAGGGGCUCAAGUUUUUUCCAGUCGUUUAUACAAUAUGGAAAUUAAUGUGAAAUUAAAACACAAAGUAUUAAUAGAAAGGAAAUGACUGUCCUGUGUAGGUGACAGUGAUAUCCAAUAGGCUAGGCACUCACGAGGCUGGCUGUGGCAAGUGUAAGUGAAAGCAACACGCACUGGCAGGAAGAACAGCAAACGCCGAUGAAGGAAAAGGGUCUUUGCAGUGAUGGGCGUUACCAGAGAGGGCGAUGGCCAGAGGACACAAAUGGGACGGGGAGGCAGCACGUUGGGGGGGGGGGGGACGCGACACGGCUCGGGCCCGCCAGUGCCCCAACGGGGUCCUAGUUAGGGCCCGAGCGUAGCUGCUAAGCAGCUGCGAGAGCCCUAUUAUUCCCCAAGUGGUUUUUCUUUGUUUCUUUUUUCUUUUUCCUCCCCUUUGAACUGGAAAAUGGCCCACUUCCCACUGGCGAAAACUCAUGAAAUUUGGCAGGACAACCGGGCCUGGUGAAAAAUUUGAUAUUCCGAAGUCGCCCAAACAAGAAAAUGCAAAAUGGCUCCAUAGCGCCCCCUAAGGUGAAAAUUCACACUAUUGACUGUCACGCCUGUACGCUUUGUCAAAAUGACACAAAAAUUGACACACACAUGUAUCUCAAUAAGAUCUACAAAAAAGUCAGUGCGGGCGUAUCUGUCAAAUGUACGGUUAAAGGGUUAUUUCGCAUUUUUUGCCGAUCCGCACACAUUGGAAUUUCGCUAACUCCUCAGAAGGCUUUCGUUCCACCGGCACCACAUUUGCUCAGGCCAAUCUACACCCCAUGGCCAUUAAAAGUUAUUCAAAUCAUGACGAUGCACCCCACGGUUUAGGUUCUAGGGGGCGCCAAAGAUAACCCUAAAAUCCACAUUUUUAAAAGUCUUAUAACUUUUUAUUUUUGCCCUCACUGGCCUCCAAGUUUUCUAGGAUGAUGCAAUGUCCAGCCAUCAACACAUUUGUGAAUGAAUUUUUACUCCCCAAAAGAGCGCCCCCCCAUGGCAGGAGAAAAAAGUCCAUUUUUUCUUGUCCCCUAAGGUGAAAAUACACAUUGUUGAGUGUUACGCCUGUACGCUUUGGCAAAAUGACACAAAAAUUGACACACACAUGUAUCUCAAGAAGAUCUACAAAAAAGUCCAUGCGCACGUAUCUGUCUAAUGUACGGUUAAAGGGUUAUUCCGCAUUUUUUGCCGAUUCCCACACAUUGGAAUUUCGCUAACUCCUCCGAAGGCUUUCGUUCCACCGGCACCACAUUUGCUCAGGCCAAAUUACACCCCAUGGCCAUUAAAAGUUAUUCAAAUCAUGACGCUGCACCCCACGGUUUACGUUCUAGGGGGCGCCAAAGAUAACCCAAAAAUCCACAUUUUUAAAAGUCUUUUAACUUUUUAUUUUUGUCCUCACUGGCCUCCAAGUUUUCUAGGAUGAUGCAAUGUCCAGCCAUCAACACAUUUGUGAAGGAAUUUUUACUCCCUAAAAGAGCGCCCCCCCAUGGCAGGAGAAAAAAGUCCAUUUUUUCUUGUCCCCUAAGGUGAAAAUACACAUUGUUGACUGUCACGCCUGUACGCUUUGGCAAAAUGACACAAAAAUUGACAAUCAUGUGUAUCUCAAUUAGAUCUACGAAAAAGUCAAAAAGCGCGUAUCUGUAUAAUGUAUGGUAAAAGGGCUAUUUUGCAUUUUUUGCCAAUUCGCACACAUUGGAAUUUCGCUAACUCCUCCUAAGGCCUUUGUCCCACUGACACCAAAUUUGCUCAGGCCAAUCUACACUCCAUGGCCAUUCAAAGUUGUAAAAAUCAUGACGCUGCACCCCACGGUUUACGUUUUAGGGGGCGCCAAAGAUGACCCAAAUAUACAUUACAGUAGACAAAGUAGUUUUGCCCACUGAGUGGCGCCAAAGGGACUUGUCUGUGGAGUCUGUGAGUCACUAUUGGCCGUUUUUGACUACUUUAGAUUUUACCUUUAUAUUUCCUCUUACAAAAUUUUUACCUUGCCUUGCCUGGUAUCAUUUUUUUCAGCACAACCUCACCUGUGUCAAUUUACAGUUAUUUUAUCAUUUUGACAUACUAUAUUUACACAUUGGACCCAAAUUCACACACAAAACAUAAAAUCCGAGUGGAAAAAAGUAACGUUUUUACUGUGAAAACCACAAAUAUGUGUGAUGAACUGUUUUUAAAACUUAAACUUCAAAUAAAAAUUGUAAACUUCAAAACAUAUGCAAAUUUUUAACAAAGAACAUAGAAAUUUACCUCUAUUGACAUCAAAAUGCAGGCAAUGGCCCAGGUGUUCUUUGUAAAAUUAUUUACAAAACACUGUAUAGUCUCACAAAUGUCACUUUUUAUUUAUGCCACUACAAAAAAACAUGAUGUAAAUGAUGCAUGAUGUAAAACAUGAUGUAAAAAACUUGUGUAGAUCCUCCUCUAUGUUAGUCCAUGUGUAAUUUUUCCAUAAUUCUUUGUUUUUUGCAGCAUUUUUGUUAGUGUAACUGCAGAUUGUGCUGACAGUGUCUAUGGCAAAAAAAAAAAAAAAAAAAACUGAAAAUGCCUCAACAUGAACCCCUGGUGGUCUCUGAGGGUGAAACCUGCUAACUGCUGCAGCUCUGUCAGCUUCAGUCUCCCAUGCAGAGCUCGGAGCGCAUGUGUGGCUCUGCACCCUUAGCAGUGUUGCUAACUCCUCAGUAAGGAAAGCCUGCUUCAUGUCAGAGUCUCUAAACUCCAGAAGAAGUCGAUAAAAGUCACUUUCUUUCUAAAAAAAAGUCGUUAGGGGGUCUGAAAAGUCAUUGAAUCUAACAACAAAGUCGCUAGGUUUGCAACUACGUGUCCCAGACUGCAUCCCUGCUGAGAGUCCCUCCCUCCCUUCUCAUAUUGCAGGAAGAACGUAAGUUCCCGCCCCUUGUCAAUCAGUCACCAUAUAAUUUUGGAUUGGUUGUUGUGGUGAAGUUUUCCACCAAUAGGAGAGAUGUUGUGGUGUGUUUUUUUUUUCCUUUGGCAAGCCUUUUCCGCCUGUAAGACCUGUCGCUAAUGUCUGCAUGCUAUGUUUUCCUGUCUCAUACAGCGCGAUCGAGCGCCGAACGUGAUCAAAAUAAGCAGAAAACAAGUAUCGCGGACAUAAUUUAUCAUAACUCUGGUUUUAUUUGGCCUAUCAACACAAUUUAAAAACUGGUAUAUAGGUUGAGGUCCUCACUUUUGAGAUAAAUUGAAACGGAGAGUCAACGAGGCUCCGUCUUGCAGCUACAUCCAGUUAAAUAUGUCAUGUGACUUGAACGCACACACACACACACACACACACACACACACACACAACACACACACACACACACGCACACACACACACUCAGAGUCUGGUUUUUAGCACCUGCAAAAACAUGCUAUUUACAUAUUUGACAAGAAUGCAGAGGCUCCUUUUGCCCCUGAAAAAAAUCAAAUUUCAAACACAACUUGACUGGUCAUUUCUCCAAAAGACAACCAUGAAGCUCCAUCCAAACCUGAAGCAGGCAGUUGGUGCAUGUGUACAGUAACCUGAGGGGAGUGAGGUGACUGCUUCUGAGGAGAACAUGAGCAGUGAAGAUUCACCUUAGAGCUAGAACAGAGACGUGCACAUGAUUAUACAGGGGCAGGGGCUCAAGUUUUUUCCAGUUGUUUAUACAAUAUGGAAAUUAAUGUGAAAUUAAAAAACAAAGUAUUAAUAGAAAGGUAAUGACUGUCCUGUGUAGGUGACAGUGAUAUCCAAUAGGCUAGGCACUCACGAGGCUGGCUGUGGCAAGUGUAAGUGAAAGCAACACGCACUGGCAGGAAGAGCAGCAAACGCCGAUGAAGGAAAAGGGUCUUUGCAGUGAUGGGCGUUACCAGAGAGGGCGACGGCCAGAGGACGCGAAUGGGAUGGGGAGGCAGCGCGUUGGGGGGGGGGACGCGACACAGCUCGGGCCCGCCAGUGCCCCAACGGGGUCCUAGUUAUUAUUUUUCCUCCCCUUUGAACUGGAAAAUGGCCCACUUCCCACUGGCGAAAACUCAUGAAAUUUGGCAGGACGACCGGGCCUGGUGAAAAAUUUGAUAUUCCGAAGUCGGCCAAACAAUAAAAUGCAAAAUGGCUCCAUAGCGCCCCCUAAGGUGAAAAAUUCACCUGACGCCUGUACGCUUUGUCAAAAUGACACAAAAAUUGACACACACAUGUAUCUCAAUAAGAUCUACAAAAAAGUCAGUGCGGGCGUAUCUGUCAAAUGUACGGUUAAAGGGUUAUUGCGCAUUUUUUGCCGAUCCGCACACAUUGGAAUUUCGCUAACUCCUCCGAAGGCUUUCGUUCCACCGGCACCACAUUUGCUCAGGCCAAUCUACACCCCAUGGCCAUUAAAAGUUAUUCAAAUCAUGACGCUGCACCCCACGGUUUAGGUUCUAGGGGGCGCCAAAGAUAACACUAAAAUCCACAUAUUUCAAAAGUCUUAUAACUUUUUAUUUUUGUCCUCACUGGCCUCCAAGUUUUCUAGGAUGAUGCAAUGUCCAGCCAUCAACACAUUUGUGAAGGAAUUUUUACUCCCAAAAGAGCGCCCCCCCAUGGCAGGAGAAAAAAGUCCAUUUUUUCUUGUCCCCUAAGGUGAAAAUACACAUUGUUGAGUGUCACGCCUGUACGCUUUGUCAAAAUGACACAAAAAUUGACACACACAUGUAUCUCAAUAAGAUCUACAAAAAAGUCAAUGGGCGCGUAUCUGUCAAAUGUACGGUUAAAGGGUUAUUCCGCAUUUUUUGCCGAUCCGCACACAUUGGAAUUUCGCUAACUCCUCCGAAGGCUUUCGUUCCACCGGCACCACAUUUGCUCAGGCCAAUCUACACCCCAUGGCCAUUAAAAGUUAUUCAAAUCAUGACGCUGCACCCCACGGUUUACGUUCUAGGGGGCGCCAAAGAUAACCCAAAAAUCCAAAUUUUUAAAAGUCUUAUAACUUUUUAUUUUUGUCCUCACUGGCCUCCAAGUUUUCUAGGAUGAUGCAAUGUCCAGCCAUCAACACAUUUGUGAAGGAAUUUUUACUCCCCAAAAGAGCGCCCCCCCAUGGCAGGAGAAAAAAGUCAAUUUUUUCUUGUCCCCUAAGGUGGAAAUUCACACUAUUGACUGUCACGCCUGUACGCUUUAUCAUAUUGACACAAAAAUUGACACACAUAUGUAUCUCAAUAAGAUCUACAAAAAAGUCAAUGCGCGCGUAUCUGUCAAAUGUACGGUUAAAGGGCUAUUUUGCAUUUUUUGCCGAUUCGCACACAUUGGAAUGUGGCUAACUCCUCCUAAGGCUUUCGUCCCACUGACACCAAAUUUGCUCAGGCCAAUCUACACCCCAUGGCCAUUCAAAGUUGUAAAAAUCAUGACGCUGCACCCCACGGUUUACGUUCUAGGGGGCGCCAAAGAUGACCCAAAAUCCACAUUCUUAAACUUUUAUUUUGUCCCACUGGCCUCCAAGUUUUCUAGAUAUGCAUGUCAGCCAUCAACACAUUUGUGAAGGAAUUUUUCUCCCAGCCCCCCCCAAGGCAGGAGAAAAAGUCAAGUUAACCCUGCCCAUCGCUCAAUGGCUCAAUCGCAUCGCUCUCCAGGCAACACCGUAAGGAGGAGCAACCUGCCAUUUCGAUAUAUCAUAGCUGUGUUUGUGCCCUCACUCAUGGUCCAGACUUUUUUCAAAUAGGACAUGAAGUUUGUCUGCAGCGAGUGUUUUGGUAGAAACUGCGCCUCCCAUUCAUUAUAAUGGGAAAUGACCACAGACAAGUGCGCACACCAUCUUUGGACCUUGAGUGUGACGCGAUCGGGAGGGGGAGGCGGUCGCGCUAGGGGCGGCGCGACGCGGCUCGGGCCCGACAGUGCCCCACCGGGGCCCUAGUUAUUAUUUUAUUAUUAUUUUCCUCCCCUUUGAACUGGAAAAUGGCCCACUUCCCACUGGCGAAAACUCAUGAAAUUUGGCAGGACGACCGGGCCUGGUGAAAAAUUUGAUAUUCCGAAGUCGCCCAAACAAGAAAAUGCAAAAUGGCUCCAUAGCGCCCCCUAAGGUGAAAAUUCACACUAUUGACUGUCACGCCUGUACGCUUUGUCAAAAUGACACAAAAAUUGACACACACAUGUAUCUCAAUAAGAUCUACAAAAAAGUCAGUGCGGGCGUAUCUGUCAAAUGUACGGUUAAAGGGUUAUUUCGCAUUUUUUGCCGAUCCGCACACAUUGGAAUUUCGCUAACUCCUCCGAAGGCUUUUGUUCCACCGGCACCACAUUUGCUCAGGCCAAUCUACACCCCAUGGCCAUUAAAAGUUAUUCAAAUCAUGACGCUGCACCCCACGGUUUAGGUUCUAGGGGGCGCCAAAGAUAACCCUAAGAUCCACAUAUUUAAAAGUCUAAUAACUUUUUAUUUUUGCCGUCACUGGCCUCCAAGUUUUCUAGGAUGAUGCAAUGUCCAGCCAUCAACACAUUUGUGAAGGAAUUUUUACUCCCCAAAAGAGCGCCCCCCCAUGGCAGGAGAAAAAAGUCCAUUUUUUCUUGUCCCCUAAGGUGAAAAUACACAUUGUUGAGUGUAACACCUGUACGCUUUGGCAAAAUGACACAAAAAUUGACACACACAUGUAUCUCAAUAAGAUCUACGAAAAAGUCAAUGCGCGCGUAUCUGUCAAAUGUACGGUUAAAGGGUUAUUCCGCAUUUUUUGCCGAUCCGCACACAUUGGAAUUUCGCUAACUCCUCCGAAGGCUUUCGUUCCACCGGCACCACAUUUGCUCAGGCCAAUCUACACCCCAUGGCCAUUAAAAGUUAUUCAAAUCAUGACGCUGCACCCCACGGUUUAGGUUCUAGGGGGCGCCAAAGAUAACCCUAAAAUCCACAUAUUUAAAAGUCUUAUAACUUUUUAUUUUUGUCCUCUCUGGCCUCCAAGUUUUCUAGGAUGAUGCAAUGUCCAGCCAUCAACACAUUUGUGAAGGAAUUUUUACUCCCCAAAAGAGCCCCCCCCAUGGCAGGAGAAAAAAGUCAAUUUUUUCUUGUCCCAUAAGGUGAAAAUACACAUUGUUGACUGUCACGCCUGUACGCUUUAUCAUAUUGACACAAAAUUUGACAAUCACAUGUAUCUCAAUAAGAUCUACGAAAAAGUCAAUGCGCGCGUAUCUGUCAAAUGUACGGUUAAAGGGCUAUUUUGCAUUUUUUGCCGAUUAGCACACAUUGGAAUGUGGCUAACUCCUCCUAAGUCUUUCGUCCCACUGACACCAAAUUUGCUCAGGCCAAUCUACACCCCAUGGCCAUUCAAAGUUUUAAAAAUCAUGACGCUGCACCCCACGGUUUACGUUCUAGGGGGCGCCAAAGAUGACCCAAAUAUCCACAUUCUUAAAAGAAUCCACCCCCCCCAUCCCCCAUCCCCCAUCCCCCAUCCCCCAUGGCAGGAGAAACAGUCAAGUUUUUCCUGCCCAUCACUCAAUGGCUCAAUCGCAUCGCUCUCCCGGCAACACCGUAACGAGGAGCAACUUGCCGUUUGGAUAUAUCCUAGCUGUGUUUGUGCCCUCACUCAUGGUCCAGACUUUUUUCAAAUAGGACAUGUAGUUUGUCUGCAGCGAGUGUUUUGGUAGAAACUGCGCCUCCCAUUUAUUAUAAUGGGAAAUGACCACAGACAAGUGCGCACACCAUCUUUGGACCUUGAGUGUGACGCGAUCAGGAGGGGGAGGCGGUCGCACUGGGGGCGGCGCAACGCGGCUCGGGCCCGCCAGUGCCCCAACGGGGCCCUAGUUUGUUAUUAUUAUUAUUAUUAUUAUUUUUCCUCCCCUUUGAACUGGAAAAUGGCCCACUUCCCACUGGCAAAAACUCAUGAAAUUUGGCAGGACGACCGGGCCUCGUGAAAAAUUUGAUAUUCCGAAGUCGCCCAAACAAGAAAAUGCAAAAUGGCUCCAUAGCGCCCCCUAAGGUGAAAAUUCACACUAUUCACUGUCACGCCUGUACGCUUUGUCAAAAUGACACAAAAAUUGACACACACAUGUAUCUCAAUAAGAUCUACAAAAAAGUCAGUGCGGGCGUAUCUGUCAAAUGUACGGUUAAAGGGUUAUUUCGCAUUUUUUGCCGAUCCGCACACAUUGGAAUUUCGCUAACUCCUCCGAAGGCUUUCGUUCCACCGGCACCACAUUUGCUCAGGCCAAUCUACACCCCAUGGCCAUUAAAAGUUAUUCAAAUCAUGACGCUGCACCCCACGGUUUAGGUUCUAGGGGGCGCCAAAGAUAACCCUAAGAUCCACAUAUUUAAAAGUCUUAUAACUUUUUAUUUUUGCCCUCACUGGCCUCCAAGUUUUCUAGGAUGAUGCAAUGUCCAGCCAUCAACACAUUUGUGAAGGAAUUUUUACUCCCCAAAAGAGCGCCCCCCCAUGGCAGGAGAAAAAAGUCCAUUUUUUCUUGUCCUCUAAGGUGAAAAUACACAUUGUUGAGUGUAACACCUGUACGCUUUGGCAAAAUGACACAAAAAUUGACACACACAUGUAUCUCAAUAAGAUCUACGAAAAAGUCAAUGCGCGCGUAUCUGUUACAUGUACGGUUAAAGGGUUAUUCCGCAUUUUUUGCCGAUCCGCACACAUUGGAAUUUCGCUAACUCCUCCGAAGGCUUUCGUUCCACCGGCACCACAUUUGCUCAGGCCAAUCUACACCCCAUGGCCAUUAAAAGUUAUUCAAAUCAUGACGCUGCACCCCACGGUUUAGGUUCUAGGGGGCGCCAAAGAUAACCGUAAAAUCCACAUAUUUAAAAGUCUUAUAACUUUUUAUUUUUGUCCCCACUGGCCUCCAAGUUUUCUAGGAUGAUGCAAUGUCCAGCCAUCAACACAUUUGUGAAGGAAUUUUUACUCCCCAAAAGAGCGCCCCCCCAUGGCAGGAGAAAAAAGUCAAUUUUUUCUUGUCCACUAAGGUGAAAAUACACAUUGUUGAGUGCUACGCCUGUAUGUUUUGUCGUAUUGACACAAAAUUUUACAUACACGUGUAUUUUAAUAAGAUCUUCGAAAAAGUCAAUGGCCACGUAUCUGUAAAAUGUACGGUUAAAGGGUUAUUUUGCAUUUUUUGCAGAUUCGCACACAUUGGAAUUUCGCUAACUCCUCCGAAGGCUUUUGUUCCACCGGCACCACAUUUGCUCAGGCCAAUCUACACCCCAUGGCCAUUAAAAGUUAUUCAAAUCAUGACGCUGCACCCCACGGUUUAGGUUCUAGGGGGCGCCAAAGAUAACCCUAAAAUCCACAUAUUUAAAAGUCUUAUAACUUUUUAUUUUUGUCCUCACUGGCCUCCAUGUUUUCUAGGAUGAUGCAAUGUCCAGCCAUCAACACAUUUGUGAAGGAGUUUUUUCUCGUUAAAAGAGCGCCCCCCAUGGCAGGAGAAUAAAGUCAAGUUUUUCCUGUUCAUCAUUCAAUGGCUCAAACGCACUGCUCUCUCGGCAAAAGCGAAAGGAGGAGCAACUUGCCAUUUGGAUAUAUCUUAGCUGUGUUUGUGCCCUCACUCAUGGUCCAGACUUUUUUCAAAUAGGACAUGGAGUUUUUCUGCAGCGAGCGCUUUGGUAGAAACUGCGCCUCCCGUUCAUUAUAAUGGUAAAUGACCACAAACAAGUGCGCACACCAUCUUUGGACCUUGAGUGUGACGCGAUCGGGUGGGGGAGGCGGUCGCGCUGGGGGCGGCGUGACACGGCUCGGGCCCGCCAGUGCCCCAACGGGGCCCUAGUUUUUCUUUUUCCUCCCCUUUGAACUGGAAAAUGGCCCACUUCCCACUGGCGAAAACUCAUGAAAUUUGGCAGGACGACCGGGCCUGGUGAAAAAUUCGAUAUUCUGAAGUCGCCCAAACAAUAAAAUGCAAAAUGGCUCCAUAGCGCCCCCUAAGGUGGAAAUUCACACUAUUGACUGUCACGCCUGUACCCUUUGUCAUAUUGACACAAAAAUUGACACACAUAUGUAUCUCAAUAAGAUCUACAAAAAAGUCAGUGUGGCCGUAUCUGUCAAAAUUACGGUUAAAGGGUUAUUUCGCAUUUUUUGCCGAUCCGCACACAUUGGAAUUUCGCUAACUCCUCUGAAGGCUUUCGUUCCACCGGCACCACAUUUGCUCAGGCCAAUCUACACCCCGUGGCCAUUAAAAGUUAUCAAAAUCAUGACGCUGCACCCCAAGGUUUAGGUUCUAGGGGGCGCCAAAGAUAACACUAAAAUUCACAUAUUUAAAAGUCUUAUAACUUCUUAUUUUUGUCCUCACUGGCCUCCAAGUUUUCUAGGAUGAUGCAAUGUCCAGCCAUCAACACAUUUGUGAAGGAAUUUUUACUCCCCAAAAGAGCGCCCCCCCAUGGCAGGAGAAAAAAGUCCAUUUUUUCUUGUCCCCUAAGGUGAAAAUACACAUUGUUGAGUGUCACGCCUAUACGCUUUGUCAAAAUGACACAAAAAUUGACACACACAUGUAACUCAAUAAGAUCUACGAAAAAGUCAAUGCGCGCGUAUCUGUCAAAUGUACGGUUAAAGGGUUAUUCCGCAUUUUUUGCCGAUCCGCACACAUUGGAAUUUCGCUAACUCCUCCUAAGGCUUUCGUUCCACCGGCACCACAUUUGCUCAGGCCAAUCUACACCCCAUGGCCAUUAAAAGUUAUUCAAAUCAUGACGCUGCACCCCACGGUUUAGGUUCUAGGGGGCGCCAAAGAUAACCCUAAAAUCCACAUAUUUAAAAGUCUUAUAACUUUUUAUUUUUGUCCUCACUGGCCUCCAAGUUUUCUAGGAUGAUGCAAUGUCCAGCCAUCAACACAUUUGUGAAGGAAUUUUUACUCCCCAAAAGAGCGCCCCCCCAUGGCAGGAGAAAAAAGUCCAUUUUUUCUUGUCCCCUAAGGUGAAAAUACACAUUGUUGAGUGUCACGCCUAUACGCUUUGUCAAAAUGACACAAAAAUUGACACACACAUGUAACUCAAUAAGAUCUACGAAAAAGUCAAUGCGCGCGUAUCUGUCAAAUGUACGGUUAAAGGGUUAUUCCGCAUUUUUUGCCGAUCCGCACACAUUUGAAUGUGGCUAACUCCUCCUAAGGCUUUCGUUCCACCGGCACCACAUUUGCUCAGGCCAAUCUACACCCCGUGGCCAUUAAAAGUUAUUCAAAUCAUGACGCUGCACCCCACGGUUUAGGUUCUAGGGGGCGCCAAAGAUAACCCUAAAAUCCACAUAUUUAAAAGUCUUAUAACUUUUUAUUUUUGUCCUCACUGGCCUCCAAGUUUUCUAGGAUGAUGCAAUGUCCAGCCAUCAACACAUUUGUGAAGGAAUUUUUACUCCCCAAAAGAGCGCCCCCCCAUGGCAGGAGAAAAAAGUCAAUUUUUUCUUGUCCCCUAAGGUGAAAAUACAUAUUGUUGAGAUUCACGCCUAUACGCUUUGUCAUAUUGACACAAAAUUUGACAAUCACGUGCCUUGCCUGGUAUCAUUUUUUUCAGCACAACCUCACCUGUGCGAAUUUACAGUUAUUUUAUCAUGUUGACAUACUGAAUUUACACAAUGGACCCAAAUUCACACACAAAACAUAAAAUCCGAGUGGAAAAAAGUAACAUUUUUACUGUGAAAACCACAAAUAUGUGUGAACUGUUUUUAAAACUUAAACUUCAAAUAAAAAUUGUUAACUUCAAAACAUAUGCAAAUUUUUAACAAAGAACAUAGUGAUUUACCUCUAUUUUCAUCAAAAUGCAGGCAAUGGCCCAGGCGUUCUUUGUAAAAUUAUUUACAAAACACUGUAUAGUCUCACAAAUGUCACUUUUUAUUUAUGCCACUACAAAAAAACAUGAUGUAAAUGAUGCAUGAUGUAAAACAUGAUGUAAAAAACUUGUGUAGAUCCUCCUCUAUGUCAGUCCAUGUGUAAUUUUUCCAUAAUUCUUUGUUUUUUGCAGCAUUUUUGUUAGUGUAACUGCAGAUUGUGCUGACAGUGUCUAUGGCACAAAAAAAAAAAAAAAUUUAAAAUGCCUCAACAUGAACCCCUGGUGGUCUCUGAGGGUGAAACCUGCUAACUGCUGCAGCACUGUCAGCUUCAGUCUCCCAUGCAGAGCUCUGAGCGCAUGUGUGGCUCUGCACCCUUAGCAGCGUUGCUAACUCCUCAGUAAGGAAAGCCUGCUUCAUGUCAGAGUCUCUAAACUCCAGAAGAAGUCGAUAAAAGUCCCUUUCUUCCUAAAAAAAAGUCGUUAGGGGGUCUGAAAAGUCAUUGAAUCUAACAACAAAGUCGCUAGGUUUGCAACUACGUGUCCCAGACUGCAUCCCUGCUGAGAGUCCCUCCCUCCCUUCUCAUGUUGCAGGAAGAACGUAAGCGCCCGCCCCUUGUCAAUCAGUCACCAUAUAAUUUUGGAUUGGUUGUUGUGGUGAAGUUUUCCACCAAUAGGAGAGAUGUUGUGGUGUGUUUUUUUUUUCUUUUGGCAAGCCUUUUCCGCCUGUAAGACCUGUCGCUAAUGUCUGCAUGCUAUGUUUUCCUGUCUCAUACAGCGCGAUCGAGCGCCGAACGUGAUCAAAAUAAGCAGAAAAAAAGUAUCGCGGACAUAAUUUAUCAUAACUCUGGUUUUAUUUGGCCUAUCAACACAAUUUAAAAACUGGUAUAUAGGUUGAGGUCCUCACUUUUGAGAUAAGUUGAAACGGAGAGUCAACGAGGCUCCGUCUUGCAGCUACAUCCGGUUAAAUAUGUCAUGUGACUUGAACGCACACACAGACACACACACACGCACACACACACACACACACACACACUCAGAGUCUGGUUUUUAGCACCUGCAAAAACAUGCUAUUUACAUAUUUGACAAGAAUGCAGAGGCUCCUUUUGCCCCUGAAAAAAAUCAAAUUUCAAACACAACUUGACUGGUCAUUUCUCCAAAAGACAACCAUGAAGCUCCAUCCAAACCUGAAGCAGGCAGUUGGUGCAUGUGUACAGUAACCUGAGGGGAGUGAGGUGAGUGCUUCUGAGGAGAACAUGAGCAGUGAAGAUUCACCUUGGAGCUAGAACAGAGACAUGCACAUGAUUAUACAGGGGCAGGGGCUCAAGUUUUUUCCAGUCGUUUAUACAAUAUGGAAAUUAAUGUGAAAUUAAAACACAAAGUAUUAAUAGAAAGGUAAUGACUGUCCUGUGUAGGUGACAGUGAUAUCCAAUAGGCUAGGCACUCACGAAGCUGGCUGUGGCAAGUGUAAGUGAAAGCAACACGCACUGGCAGGAAGAACAGCAAACGCCGAUGAAGGAAAAGGGUCUUUGCAGUGAUGGGCGUUACCAGAGAGGGCGAUGGCCAGAGGACACAAAUGGG